UCUUGCCUGGAGAUCCCCAUGGACAGAGGAGCCUGGUGGGCUAUAGUCCACAUGGUCCCAAAGAGUCAGACACAACUGAAGCAAUAUAGCAUAGCAUAACAUAUAUGAGUUUAUAGAGUUGAAGUUUAUGGUCUUUUACUUUUCUUUCCAUUUUGUUGUUGUUCUCCAUUGUUUUAUUCUCUUUUUCUCACCGCAUGCUGCCUAAGAGACACUAGACUAUUUCUUCUCCAAUAGAACAAAGAUUACUGGAACUCUGCACAAGUAUUUCAGAACAUAAUACAAUUGCUUCCCUGCCCCUAAAAACCUCAGNNNNNNNNNNNNNNNNNNNCAUUGAAUGGCUUACUUCAGUUUGCUCGUUUGACAGCAGUAUGAGGAUAGAAGAGGAAGCCAGAGGCACAGAAGGCAAAUGAUCACUUCCAGAUGGUGUCUAAAGGAUGCUCCUGAUAACUAUUCAGUAGAAAGGCCAUGGGGCUGUUUGGUGACUCCACAAGUGAGAUGUUGUGUUAAAUGCCUGUUACAGCUUCAGAUCUGUUUGACAAACGCUCUUUAAGGUAUGGGGUCUGUCCUGGGUCAACAAAGAUGAUUGACACAUGGCCUUUACCCUCCAGGCACUGGCAGGGAAGCCAGGUGGAGUCAAUGAACAGUCAAGAACCAGUCUAGAUGACCCUACUGAACACCUGGAUGUGUGUGUUUCAAAGCAACCGCAGUGGUACAAGUGGUUUGUGGCCAAAGAAAGUGGAGACGGCUUGAUUAUGUGCCAUCACCCAAAUUCACCAGCACUCUGAGAAGCAACAAGCUAUUCAGUGAUGAUGGUAAACACCACUCAUGAGGAAACCACUUCAAAAAACUAAGGGGUAUCCUCACAAGUCCUUGGAUUCAUUCUGUUACUACUUGAACAUACAUGGGUCAUAUAUCCAUCUCCGAAACAAUUAUUAUGGCCAAAGAGGAGCUAGCACAUUGAUUGUUCAAGUUUGUGUCACAUGUGCUAUUCCUGGAAUUAGACAUAGAACCUUGGCAAACAAAUGGAUCGAUAUUGAGGUCAAACUCAGGAUAAGCAUAAAUCAAACCGAGCCAUCACUCACCAGACUGAGACAAAACCUCAACGCCCUCUAGUGGAGAGACUGUUCCAUGCUCCAUUACGUGGGACCAACUUUUUGACUCCCAUGGGUAAGAGAAAUUUAUGAGAGUUCAUUUUUUAAAAAUAUUGAUCUAUGUUAAUUGAUUGGUGAUUGGUUUACAAUAUUGGUUUGAUUUCUGUCAUACAUCAACAUGAAUUNNNNNNNNNNNNNNNNNNNNNNNNNNNNNNNNNNNNNNNNNNNNNNNNNNNNNNNNNNNNNNNNNNNNNNNNNNNNNNNNAAAAUUUUCUGGUUAGAAUGAACCAUCACCAAGAACACAAGGGAAAAUAUGGGGGUGGGGUGCCUAUACACAAAAUAUCAAUAACUUUGUUACUGUAAUUAGUCUCUGAUCUUCCAAGUUACCUGCUUGUCUUGACUGCCUACUCUUGGCCAUAUCAUGACUCUCUACUACUGAAUCUACAAAGAAUUAAAUCUAUUCCUUUGUUUUUAAAAGUUACCUUUUUCUUUUGUUUUAUUUCUCCAGAUUUAUCACUUCUCUUAAGUAUCACUUCAUUAAUUUUUCCAAACAACAGCAAAAAUAACCACUGAAUUCAUUUUCUGUUUUUCUCCUAAGAACAUGGUUUAUCAGCCUUUCCCAUUUAUAACAUGAUGCUUGUUCCAAGAAAGGACGAGAGCAGCCGAGCACAGUGGUUAAGAAUAGAAGGGUGGAGCUAGAAGCACUGACUCCAAGUCCAAAGGAGCCAUUUACUAUCCAUAUGAUCUUGGACUAGUCACUUAGAUCCUCAUUUCUCAGUUCCCUCAUCUGUAAAAUCAAAACGACGGUGAUAGUACCCAGAAAGCCUAGAACUUAAGAAAAUCCACGUAAAGGAGCUAGAACAGUGCCUAACACGUAAUAAGCACUCAAUGGCUGUUACUUAAUAUUGCUAUUUCAUCAGUUUUAUGAGUAAAUAAUAACAUAGCAUGAAUAAAAGAUUUGAAUCCAACCUCUUUUUCCAAAUGCAGUUGUUCACUAGUCACCUUCUGUAUUUUACAUACCUACUAGAAGAAAACUAUCUUCUGUGGAGAAAUAUCACAGCAUUUAAUAUUACCUCUCCAAGUUUUUUAUCUACAAUAUCUGGCUAAAAAAACACCAAGUAACUAAAUGCCACAAUUAAAAAUAACAAUAAUAAAAAAAACCUGGGAUGAUGAAGAUAUUGAAGUAAUCAGACAGAGGAUUUAAAAUUAAAAUAAUAAAUGGGUUCAAUAAAACAGAGGAAAAUAUGAAGAAUUUUAACAGAAACCUGCAAUCUAUUAGAUAUGGCAGAACAGAGAACUUCUGGCAAACUGGAAAACAAAUAACUGAACUAUAGUUUGAAGCCAAGAGAGAAUAAGAGAUAGGAAAUACAAAAAAGAGUGUAAGAGUUAUAUGAAGAAUAAUGAUACAGUCUAACAUGCAUAUUGGAGUUUUGGAAAUAGAGAGGAAAUGAUAGUUUAGAAACAAUAUUUGAAGAAAUAUUAGCUAAAAAUGUUUCAAAGUUAACAAAAGACAUUAAACCGCAGAAUCUAGAUAUGCUAUGAGCCUCAUGUAGAAUAAAAGUAUAAAGAAAACCACACCUGGCUACAUCAGAGUUAAGCUGCUAAUAACAAAGACAAAUGGAAGCAUCUUAAAGUACUCAGAGGGGGAAACAAAAAACCCACACAUUACCUUCAAAGAAGCAACAAUAAAGCAUGUGCUUACUUUACAACAGAAAUGAUGGAAAUUAGAACAAAAUGGAAUGGCACGAAAAUGUAAAAGAGCAAAAAACCUUCCUACCUUCUCAUCUAGAAUUGUAUACAAAAUAAAAAUAUUACUCAAAAAAAGAAGGCAAAAAUUAAGAACUUUUCAGACAAAGAAAAGGUAAGUUUAUCACCAGUAGAUAUUUAUGUUAACAAAUACUAUAGAGUUAUUCAGGCUUAAGAGAAUAAUCUCAGGUUGGAACCAUCAGGAAUGAAGAGCACCAGAAAGGUAUGUGGGUAAUCUAAAUGAAUAGAGACUGGUUUAUAAUAUCUUGUGGGGAUUUGAAUAUGUAUAGAAGUAAAAUAUAUGACGACAGCACAAUAAAAGAGAGAGAUAAAUGGAGUUAAACUUUUGAUUAUAAUUUAAUAUAAAAUUCUACAUGGGGGGAAUUGGUAAAAGCACUAAUUAAAGGUAAACUGUAGUAAGUCUAAGAUGUAUGUUGUAUUCUAUUGUUACUUAACAAACCACUCCAAAAUUUACUGGUUCAGAGCAAUCAUAGCAUUUACUUUGCUUACAGAUCUGUAGUUUAGACAGGGUUCGGUGGGGACAUCUUGUCUCCACUCAGAAUCAGCUAGUAUGGCUCAAAUUCUGGACUGUGGAACCAUCUAAAGGCUCUCUAUCUUGCUUGGCUAGUUAGUUAAUACUAGCUAUUGGCUAGAAAUGCCGCGGGGUCAUGCCCAGAAUACCUAAUUGUGGUUGGUCCACAUGGCUGCUUGACAAAGCAUGGUGGCUGGGCUGGAUGCUUAGAGAGCCUGACAGAAGCUAUAUCAUUUUACUAAUCUAUCUUCAGAAGUCAUGUGUCAUUCCAUUAUAUUCUGUUGGUUGGAAGCAAGUCACUAGGGGCAACCCAUAUUCAAAGGAAGACUAAAAGUCUUCCUGUUGAUAGGAGGCAUAUCAAAGAACUUGUGGACAUUUUUUUUCAGCUAUACCAAAAGAAUCACUAUUUUCCUUGUUCCUUUUUUUUUUAAUUGAAAUAUCGUUGAUUAACAACUUUGUGUUAAUUUCUGAUGAAACUCUUAGAGGAAAACAUAGGCAGAACACUCAGUGACAUAAAUCAAAG
Molecule: long non-coding RNA, 3892 nt
Filed under: Capra hircus (goat)
Lineage: Eukaryota; Metazoa; Chordata; Mammalia; Artiodactyla; Bovidae
Description: lncRNA (ENSCHIG00010029367.1)
Source: RNAcentral